Long non-coding RNA from Mustela erminea (ermine), 102 nucleotides. RefSeq lists it as uncharacterized. The record is from RefSeq and is a predicted model, not a curated record. The transcript is spliced from 3 exons. NCBI's taxonomy places the organism in Eukaryota, Metazoa, Chordata, Mammalia, Carnivora, Mustelidae.
AAAAAAAUAGAAUAAGAAAAAAAUAAAAUAAAAAUUUGACUUUGAAAGACUAAGAAUCAUGGGAGAAAAAGCUAUGAAUUCUAUGUGACAUAUGACCCUGGC